RNAcentral lists this long non-coding RNA (1089 nucleotides) under Mytilus galloprovincialis (Mediterranean mussel). The record is from RNAcentral. Lineage: Eukaryota; Metazoa; Mollusca; Bivalvia; Mytilida; Mytilidae.
GAGAUCGACGACUCAAGAUUCGGAAAAUGAGGCAAAAUUGACGGAUAAAAAAAGUAUAAUUGUAUAAGAUCACCGAAUAUGAUGUGACCAGCUAUACAUAGUAGGCAUGGUAGAAGAAGAUGGCAAAGCAUUUCACUCAUAAACAUGUGAUUCUCUGAGAAUUGGACUUGAUACUAUAAGCAAAAUGUCUAUCGUAUUUGGUGUUGUACUGGCCUGACCAGUGAGUGUAACCAAGACGACUGGGUUUCGGUAAAGAUAAAACAAUCAGGAGCUGACUUUUAUUUCACUACCAAUCCAAAUGGUGAAAAACUGAAAAUACAAAUAUAAAUACGAUUUUACAAUGUGUUCAAUGAUAAUUAAAGUCCGUUAAAAAUACGGAUAAACAGUUCGUAGAUAUAUAAAGCUGUUAAAGUUCUUUAUAAUAAUAAAAAUAUGAAUAUUCUUGCACACGUCGGGUUCUGUCUUGAAUUAAAUCGUGCAAUCGCAGAUACGAACAGUUUAAACGGUAAAAGUUCAUAGUUUCUUUAUAACAUAGAGAAAUAUAUUAAAACAGUUCAUCGCUAAUGUAAAGACAUGAUUUGUAAUGCUUUAAAUGUAACUCACGCUGUGGUUAGCCACGAAUUGUUCUUUUGGACAACGUGUCCGAUGAAUGUUCCUUGUAGUUGUGCACACGACUCGCUGCGCAGUUUUACGUCACUCAGAAGAGAGGGGAAAGUAACACGGAUUCCUACACUGUCCUAUAUAAAACUCCUAAAACUGGCGCACAUAAAGCGAUGUACGCAAUGAAACGUUAACAAUAUAAAAAGAUGAUCAAAUGAAGAAUAAAUGAUGAAUGAGUUCUAGAACAGGUGUCUUUGUUCAUGUCCAACUGGCAGGUGUCAUUUGAUUUUGACCUCAUUUGCAUGGUUCAGUGGUUAAGUAAAGUUUUUGUGUUUUUGCUCAGGGAUAGUCAGAUGUUAAACUAUAUUUUCAAAGAUACAAUGUAGAUAGAAAACGUGAUAGUGCAUGGUUAUUUAAACAAUUUUUAUACGACCGCAAAAAUUGAAAAAAUUUUGGUCGUAUAUUAGUAUCACGUUGGCGUCGUCGUCG